RNAcentral lists this unclassified non-coding RNA (250 nucleotides) under plant metagenome. RNAcentral's name for it is "partial contains small subunit ribosomal RNA, internal transcribed spacer 1, and 5.8S ribosomal RNA". The record is from RNAcentral.
GUAGGUGAACCUGCGGAAGGAUCAUUAGCACGUGUUCCACACGCAAACGCUAACCGCGAACUUGUUUCGUUUCGUAGCUGCGGAUAGAAAGACAAAUCGAGAGACGGUAGGAGAGAGUAGUGCCGCCGCACAUUCUCUAUUCGACUUGUCGUCUUUUGGAUCUUCCAAAAGGUAUCCGUGGUUAUUUACGUACCGUAUUAUUGAACUUUUAAACCCUUUGUACACUUCGUACUUUAAACAAUGAUCAUUC